This 1258-nucleotide ribosomal RNA is filed under the name Escherichia coli. RNAcentral's name for it is "partial 23S ribosomal RNA". It matches the Rfam family "Bacterial large subunit ribosomal RNA", at positions 1 to 1299 of the family's 2925-position model. Lineage: Bacteria; Pseudomonadati; Pseudomonadota; Gammaproteobacteria; Enterobacterales; Enterobacteriaceae. The record is from RNAcentral.
GUUAAGCGACUAAGCGUACACGGUGGAUGCCCUGGCAGUCAGAGGCGAUGAAGGACGUGCUAAUCUGCGAUAAGCGUCGGUAAGGUGAUAUGAACCGUUAUAACCGGCGAUUUCCGAAUGGGGAAACCCAGUGUGUUUCGACACACUAUCAUUAACUGAAUCCAUAGGUUAAUGAGGCGAACCGGGGGAACUGAAACAUCUAAGUACCCCGAGGAAAAGAAAUCAACCGAGAUUCCCCCAGUAGCGGCGAGCGAACGGGGAGCAGCCCAGAGUCUGAAUCAGUGUGUGUGUUAGUGGAAGCGUCUGGAAAGGCGCGCGAUACAGGGUGACAGCCCCGUACACAAAAAUGCACAUACUGUGAGCUCGAUGAGUAGGGCGGGACACGUGGUAUCCUGUCUGAAUAUGGGGGGACCAUCCUCCAAGGCUAAAUACUCCUGACUGACCGAUAGUGAACCAGUACCGUGAGGGAAAGGCGAAAAGAACCCCGGCGAGGGGAGUGAAAAAGAACCUGAAACCGUGUACGUACAAGCAGUGGGAGCACGCUUAGGCGUGUGACUGCGUACCUUUUGUAUAAUGGGUCAGCGACUUAUAUUCUGUAGCAAGGUUAACCGAAUAGGGGAGCCGAAGGGAAACCGAGUCUUAACUGGGCGUUAAGUUGCAGGGUAUAGACCCGAAACCCGGUGAUCUAGCCAUGGGCAGGUUGAAGGUUGGGUAACACUAACUGGAGGACCGAACCGACUAAUGUUGAAAAAUUAGCGGAUGACUUGUGGCUGGGGGUGAAAGGCCAAUCAAACCGGGAGAUAGCUGGUUCUCCCCGAAAGCUAUUUAGGUAGCGCCUCGUGAAUUCAUCUCCGGGGGUAGAGCACUGUUUCGGCAAGGGGGUCAUCCCGACUUACCAACCCGAUGCAAACUGCGAAUACCGGAGAAUGUUAUCACGGGAGACACACGGCGGGUGCUAACGUCCGUCGUGAAGAGGGAAACAACCCAGACCGCCAGCUAAGGUCCCAAAGUCAUGGUUAAGUGGGAAACGAUGUGGGAAGGCCCAGACAGCCAGGAUGUUGGCUUAGAAGCAGCCAUCAUUUAAAGAAAGCGUAAUAGCUCACUGGUCGAGUCGGCCUGCGCGGAAGAUGUAACGGGGCUAAACCAUGCACCGAAGCUGCGGCAGCGACGCUUAUGCGUUGUUGGGUAGGGGAGCGUUCUGUAAGCCUGUGAAGGUGUGCUGUGAGGCAUGCUGGAGGUAUCAGAAGUGCGAAUGCUG